GACGAACGCUGGCGGCGUGCUUAACACAUGCAAGUGGAGCGACGAACCAGGCUUCGGCCUGGGGCAGAGCCGCGAACGGGUGAGUAACACGUGGGUAACCUACCCCGAUGACCGGGACAACCCGAGGAAACUCGGGCUAAUACCGGAUGUUCUCAACUCUCAUAAGUGAGAUGAGGAAAGAUAGCUUCGGCCUUCGCAUCGGGACGGGCCCGCGGCGCAUUAGCUUGUUGGUGGGGUAACGGCCACCAAGGCGACGAUGCGUAGCUGGUCUGAGAGGACGAUCAGCCACACUGGGAC
Molecule: ribosomal RNA, 297 nt
Filed under: uncultured bacterium
Lineage: Bacteria
Description: partial 16S ribosomal RNA
Rfam family: Bacterial small subunit ribosomal RNA
Source: RNAcentral